CUACGUGCCAGCAGCCGCGGUAAUACGGAAGGUCCAGGCGUUAUCCGGAUUUAUUGGGUUUAAAGGGAGCGUAGGCGGAUUGUUAAGUCAGCGGUUAAAGGGUGUGGCUCAACCAUGCAUUGCCGUUGAAACUGGCGAUCUUGAGUGCAGACAGGGAUGCCGGAAUUCGUGGUGUAGCGGUGAAAUGCUUAGAUAUCACGAAGAACUCCGAUCGCGAAGGCAGGUGUCCGGGCUGCAACUGACGCCGAGGCUCGAAAGUGUGGGUAUCAAACAGGAUUAGAUACCCUGGUAGUCCACACAGUAAACGAUGUAUACUCGCGGUUUGCGAUAGACAGUAAGCCGCCAAGCGAAAGCAUUAAGUAUACCACCUGGGGAGUACGCCGGCAACGGUGAAACUCAAAGGAAUUGACGGGGGCCCGCACAAGCGGAGGAACAUGUGGUUUAAUUCGAUGAUACGCGAGGAACCUUACCCGGGCU
RNAcentral lists this ribosomal RNA (477 nucleotides) under uncultured bacterium. Its description in RNAcentral is "bacterial SSU rRNA". It matches the Rfam family "Bacterial small subunit ribosomal RNA", at positions 501 to 981 of the family's 1533-position model. The record is from RNAcentral.